Molecule: long non-coding RNA, 1953 nt
Organism: Manis pentadactyla (Chinese pangolin)
Lineage: Eukaryota; Metazoa; Chordata; Mammalia; Pholidota; Manidae
Exons: 4
Source: RefSeq, a predicted model, not a curated record
AAUGCUCUGAUUAGGAAGCACUGGGUCCUGAGCCAACACAUGUGCGAGGCUUAGCACCCCCUUAAUGUUUUCUGCUAUGAUCCACAAGGAAGGAGGAACAGGAUCUCUCGUCCUAAAAGAAAAGGCUGUGGCUGGUCAAGAGGCAAAGGAAACUGGGCAGAAACAAAGCAAAAUAAAACACCGGUUGCUUUGCAGCAGCUCUCCUGCGGACAGGCUGUCAUGACAUAACAAGUCCUGCCCUACGGGAGUGACUCCACUACAUGGAUAAGCUAACAAAGGCUCCCCCGGAACUACAGAGUUACAUGUCUGGUGCCAUUGUAUGACACAAGAAUCAUCUCUCCAAUUGAUGGGAAUUCCUUCAGUACAAAGAUGACACAGAGGAAGGCCCAGUAGGGAUCAAGGAGGAAGAAAACACAGAUCCUUUGUGAGAAGAGCUUGGCAGCUGAGGAUGGGGAGAGAAGAAGAGCUGGGAGGACGGACACACCGUAACAUGGGACAAAAGCCUGACGUGGGUGUGGGGGAUGCGUCUGCAUGUGUCCGCAUGGGUGUGCAUGUGCACAGGUGGGAGCAAAAUACCGAAGGAGACACCCUCACACAUGCUCCUUCUGUGUAACCACCUGGUCUGGAGGCCAGAGAGAUGAUGGUUUCCCUGAGCCAGGAGGUCCUAAAGGUGCAUUGCUUCACCUCGUCUUCUUUCCCAUUGAAGUCACUGCCAAGCAAAUGUGUGCUGAGCAAAUGGAUGUACUCACAUACUACUGGAAGACACAACUGAGGGAUGCUCCAGUGGACGAGUUAAAAUGUCAGACAAAAAAAUGAAUGCAGGGGGAAAACAAGAACAACAGCAGAAAACAUGAUGAGCAUCAUGAGUCCUGAAAUGCAAAAAUAAAUCAGGAACAGUUACUUUAAAACUCCGGAGUUUUCUGCAAUGUGGGGUUGAGAGAGGGCAGCUCCAGUGAAGACCUGCCUCUGGGGGAAGGGACUCUGGUUACACAGAGAAAAGUGAUCGGCGUCCUGUGUUCAGGAUCGACUGGCUACUGCAGAGCAAGUGUGCUGACAGCAGAGUCCCGAAGCCAUUUGUUGAGUCUAGAGAGCACGGCCCACAAGCUUAUCAGUCUGAUUUUCUGAUGAUUCUGGGCAAUUUAAUGAUAACCUUGGAUUCCUUCUUUCGGGGUCCUGACCCCUUGGCCUAUGCCUGUGUGAGCAAUACGCUUCUUAAAUACUUGUACUUACCUGUGAGCAGUGUUUUGAAAUCAGAUACCUCUAGAGGGGAGGCCAUGUCUGACCACUAACAAACAGGUAAAUGGCCCAGACAAGCGCCCCGACCAGGUGCUGGAGAGGACGUCGGUGGCCACGCUCUGCUGUCAGACCUGUGAGGACACCAAACAUGUUUCUGUUAAAGCAGCCAUCCUCCCACUCCAAACGGUGCAGAUAAAGCUGCGGGCUUUGGGGGGUUACCUGAGCCACGCUAGCCCUGAGCUCCUUUUGGCUGCUCUGGGCCUCUGAGGGACCCUGGAAGCCCGUGGCUCCAUGGAGCACAGUUUGGAAACCAUCUGUGCGGCCUCUGUAUUUUCCUCUGGCUCUGGCCCUGCGUAUGGCCCCAUGGAUUUCACUGGAAAGCAAGCUCUAGCCCAAACCCAAGACAUACUGAGUUCAGCCGCUCAUGGCUUGAGUCCUUCCCAUUUAACUGUUCUUUCUCUGCUGAUUUCAUUGUUCAGUAGACUACAUUUUUUAAAUGUGAAAUAGUACAAGCAAGCCACGUGCUACAAUAACCUAGUACACAUAUAACAAAAUAGGCCAAAACAGAGAGGAAACAGGAUGCAUGAAAAAUCCCUUCGAAACUGGACUUUUCAAACAUAGUACAAUGAUCUAGCUCUUGUGGAAGUACUCAUUGGCAGAAUCUUUGCAUUAACGAUGAGUUAGAGAAGCAGGCAGUGUACUGGGAAGAGCUCAGGC